GAUGAAGAACGCAGUGAAAUGCGAUACGUAAUGUGAAUUGCAGAAUUCAGUGAAUCAUCGAGUCUUUGAACGCACAUUGCGCCCCCUGGUAUUCCGGGGGGCAUGCCUGUCCGAGCGUCAUUGCUGCCUCAAGCACGGCUUGUGUGUUGGGCCUCCGUCCUCCUCCCGGGGGACGGGCCCGAAAGGCAGCGGCGGCACCGCGUCCGGUCCUCGAGCGUAUGGGGCUUCGUCACCCGCUCUUGUAGGCCCGGCCGGCGCUUGCCGACACAUCAAUCUUUUUUCCAGGUUGACCUCGGAUCAGGUAGGGAUACCCGCUGAACUUAAGCAUAUCAAUAAGCGGAGGA
This 344-nucleotide unclassified non-coding RNA is filed under the name soil metagenome. Its description in RNAcentral is "partial contains 5.8S ribosomal RNA, internal transcribed spacer 2, and large subunit ribosomal RNA". The stretch from base 1 to 120 matches the Rfam family "5.8S ribosomal RNA", at positions 35 to 154 of the family's 154-position model. The record is from RNAcentral.